UUGUUGUGGAGCAUCAGCCGUUAAGGACGGCCAGCUGCUGUGGGAGCAAUUUCCUGCUGCAGAGAGCAUUUUAAGAAAGGACAGUGUUCCUGUGACCUCUGCCUACCAUCCAUAAAAUACUCAUUCCCCUCUCAGAUAUAAGAAGCUCUGAUACGAAAGCCGGGGGCUCCUGUUGGCUGGAAGGAAGUUUGCAUCUGCCGUCGCCAGCACUUGUCUCUGCCUACAGUUGAACACAAAGACCUGGAGGAGACUCCCACCUCCUUCAGGGAGAAGAAAGGAGGCAGCGAAGCAGAUUAAAGGAACUUGUGGCUUGUGGCCUUUUUGUGCAAGGGCUGCCUGGAAGGG
Molecule: small RNA, 345 nt
Filed under: Pongo abelii (Sumatran orangutan)
Lineage: Eukaryota; Metazoa; Chordata; Mammalia; Primates; Hominidae
Description: processed transcript
Source: RNAcentral